RNAcentral lists this ribosomal RNA (1386 nucleotides) under Lactiplantibacillus plantarum. RNAcentral describes it as "bacterial SSU rRNA". It matches the Rfam family "Bacterial small subunit ribosomal RNA", at positions 73 to 1435 of the family's 1533-position model. The record is from RNAcentral. Lineage: Bacteria; Bacillati; Bacillota; Bacilli; Lactobacillales; Lactobacillaceae.
UUGGUGCUUGCAUCAUGAUUUACAUUUGAGUGAGUGGCGAACUGGUGAGUAACACGUGGGAAACCUGCCCAGAAGCGGGGGAUAACACCUGGAAACAGAUGCUAAUACCGCAUAACAACUUGGACCGCAUGGUCCGAGCUUGAAAGAUGGCUUCGGCUAUCACUUUUGGAUGGUCCCGCGGCGUAUUAGCUAGAUGGUGGGGUAACGGCUCACCAUGGCAAUGAUACGUAGCCGACCUGAGAGGGUAAUCGGCCACAUUGGGACUGAGACACGGCCCAAACUCCUACGGGAGGCAGCAGUAGGGAAUCUUCCACAAUGGACGAAAGUCUGAUGGAGCAACGCCGCGUGAGUGAAGAAGGGUUUCGGCUCGUAAAACUCUGUUGUUAAAGAAGAACAUAUCUGAGAGUAACUGUUCAGGUAUUGACGGUAUUUAACCAGAAAGCCACGGCUAACUACGUGCCAGCAGCCGCGGUAAUACGUAGGUGGCAAGCGUUGUCCGGAUUUAUUGGGCGUAAAGCGAGCGCAGGCGGUUUUUUAAGUCUGAUGUGAAAGCCUUCGGCUCAACCGAAGAAGUGCAUCGGAAACUGGGAAACUUGAGUGCAGAAGAGGACAGUGGAACUCCAUGUGUAGCGGUGAAAUGCGUAGAUAUAUGGAAGAACACCAGUGGCGAAGGCGGCUGUCUGGUCUGUAACUGACGCUGAGGCUCGAAAGUAUGGGUAGCAAACAGGAUUAGAUACCCUGGUAGUCCAUACCGUAAACGAUGAAUGCUAAGUGUUGGAGGGUUUCCGCCCUUCAGUGCUGCAGCUAACGCAUUAAGCAUUCCGCCUGGGGAGUACGGCCGCAAGGCUGAAACUCAAAGGAAUUGACGGGGGCCCGCACAAGCGGUGGAGCAUGUGGUUUAAUUCGAAGCUACGCGAAGAACCUUACCAGGUCUUGACAUACUAUGCAAAUCUAAGAGAUUAGACGUUCCCUUCGGGGACAUGGAUACAGGUGGUGCAUGGUUGUCGUCAGCUCGUGUCGUGAGAUGUUGGGUUAAGUCCCGCAACGAGCGCAACCCUUAUUAUCAGUUGCCAGCAUUAAGUUGGGCACUCUGGUGAGACUGCCGGUGACAAACCGGAGGAAGGUGGGGAUGACGUCAAAUCAUCAUGCCCCUUAUGACCUGGGCUACACACGUGCUACAAUGGAUGGUACAACGAGUUGCGAACUCGCGAGAGUAAGCUAAUCUCUUAAAGCCAUUCUCAGUUCGGAUUGUAGGCUGCAACUCGCCUACAUGAAGUCGGAAUCGCUAGUAAUCGCGGAUCAGCAUGCCGCGGUGAAUACGUUCCCGGGCCUUGUACACACCGCCCGUCACACCAUGAGAGUUUGUAACACCCAAAGUCGGUGGGG